UGGGGAAUAUUGGGCAAUGGGCGAAAGCCUGACCCAGCGACGCCGCGUGAGGGAAGACGGUCUUCGGAUUGUAAACCUCUUUUAUAAGGGACGAACAAAUGACGGUACCUUAUGAAUAAGCCACGGCUAACUACGUGCCAGCAGCCGCGGUAAUACGUAGGUGGCGAGCGUUAUCCGGAUUUACUGGGUGUAAAGGGUGUGUAGGCGGGACUGCAAGUCAGAUGUGAAAAUCAUGGGCUCAACUCAUGACCUGCAUUUGAAACUGUGGUUCUUGAGGGUCGGAGAGGUAACUGGAAUUCCUGGUGUAGCGGUGAAAUGCGUAGAUAUCAGGAGGAACACCGGUGGCGAAGGCGGGUUACUGGACGAUUACUGACGCUGAGACACGAAAGUGUGGGGAGCAAACAGG
RNAcentral lists this ribosomal RNA (406 nucleotides) under uncultured prokaryote. RNAcentral's name for it is "bacterial SSU rRNA". It matches the Rfam family "Bacterial small subunit ribosomal RNA", at positions 355 to 776 of the family's 1533-position model. The record is from RNAcentral. RNAcentral also lists the same sequence under 1 other name.